AUUAUUUUGUAUGUCAUAAGCAUGAUAAUUGAGGUUUCAAGCUCAUGUGUGAGGUAUGCCUCCCUCAAACCUUGUUAUGGAUGCCUGUCUGACG
Callithrix jacchus (white-tufted-ear marmoset) is the source of this 94-nucleotide small nucleolar RNA. NCBI's taxonomy places the organism in Eukaryota, Metazoa, Chordata, Mammalia, Primates, Cebidae. The record is from Ensembl.